CCUACGGGGAGCAGCAGUGGUGGAUAUUGCACAAUGGGGGAAACCCUGAUGCAGCGACGCCUCGUGAGUGAAGAAGUAUUUCGGUAUGUAACGCUCUAUCAGCAGGGAAGAAAAAAGACGGUACCUGACUAAGAAGCCCCGGCUAACUACGUGCCUGCAGCCGCGGUAAUACGUAGGGGGCAAGCGUUAUCCGGAUUUACUGGGUGUACAGGGGGCGCAGACGGCAGCGCAAGCCAGGAGUGAAAGCCCGGGGCCCAACCCCGGGACUGCUGUUGGAACGGCGCGGCUGGAGUGCAGGAGGGGCAGGCGGAAGUCCUGGUGUAGCGGUGAAAUGCGUAGAUAUCAGGAGGAACACCGGUGGCGAAGGCGGCCUGCUGGACUGCGACUGACGUUGAGGCCCGAAAGCGUGGGGAGCAAACAGGAUUAGAUACCCUUGUAGUC
This 441-nucleotide ribosomal RNA is filed under the name uncultured bacterium. RNAcentral's name for it is "partial 16S ribosomal RNA". It matches the Rfam family "Bacterial small subunit ribosomal RNA", at positions 338 to 795 of the family's 1533-position model. The record is from RNAcentral.